CCUACGGGAGGCAGCAGUGAGGAAUAUUGGUCAAUGGCCGGAAGGCUGAACCAGCAAAGCCGCGUGAAGGACGAAGGUGCCAAGCAUUGUAAACUUCUUUUGUCAAGGGACAAAAUCAGGCGCGAGAGCCUUACCGAGGCUACUUUAAGAAAAAGCAUCGGCUAACUCCGUGCCAGCAGCCGCGGUAAUACGGAGGAUGCGAGCGUUAUACGGAUUGAUUGGGUUAAAGGGGUGCGUAGGUGGACUGUUAGGUCAGGGCUAAAAGCACGGGGCUCAACCCCGGCGAGCCGUUGAAACUGGCUGUCUUGAGAUGUCGAGAGGUAUGCGGAAUGCGCAGUGUAGCGGUGAAAUGCUUAGAUAUUGCGCAGAACUCCGAUGGCGAAGGCAGCAUACCGGCGGCGAUCUGACGCUGAGGCACGAAAGCGUGGGUAUCGAACAGGAUUAGAUACCCGAGUAGUC
This 459-nucleotide ribosomal RNA is filed under the name uncultured bacterium. RNAcentral's name for it is "partial 16S ribosomal RNA". It matches the Rfam family "Bacterial small subunit ribosomal RNA", at positions 338 to 795 of the family's 1533-position model. The record is from RNAcentral.